This 502-nucleotide ribosomal RNA is filed under the name Bacillus pumilus. RNAcentral's name for it is "bacterial SSU rRNA". It matches the Rfam family "Bacterial small subunit ribosomal RNA", at positions 39 to 527 of the family's 1533-position model. The record is from RNAcentral. Lineage: Bacteria; Bacillati; Bacillota; Bacilli; Caryophanales; Bacillaceae.
GCGGCGUGCCUAAUACAUGCAGUCGAGCGGCAGAAGGGAGCUUCGUCCCGGAUGUUAGCGGCGGACGGGUGAGUAACACGUGGGUAACCUGCCUGUAAGACUGGGAUAACUCCGGGAAACCGGAGCUAAUACCGGAUAGUUCCUUGAACCGCAUGGUUCAAGGAUGAAAGACGGUUUCGGCUGUCACUUACAGAUGGACCCGCGGCGCAUUAGCUAGUUGGUGGGGUAAUGGCUCACCAAGGCGACGAUGCGUAGCCGACCUGAGAGGGUGAUCGGCCACACUGGGACUGAGACACGGCCCAGACUCCUACGGGAGGCAGCAGUAGGGAAUCUUCCGCAAUGGACGAAAGUCUGACGGAGCAACGCCGCGUGAGUGAUGAAGGUUUUCGGAUCGUAAAGCUCUGUUGUUAGGGAAGAACAAGUGCGAGAGUAACUGCUCGCACCUUGACGGUACCUAACCAGAAAGCCACGGCUAACUACGUGCCAGCAGCCCGUUUAAUAG